AUGGGUCAUGACCCUCCUCUCCGUGAUACAAGACCAUGUUUAGCAUCUGAAGAGUCAUGUUAUUUGAGUUCCGACGACCCCAACAUAAAACCACAAGUAAAACCUCAAAAAUCACUUGCUUCGUAAAUUUCUCCAUCGGUUCAAUGAAUUAUUCGGGAAAUCUUUUGGUUAUAUGCAGCCAAGCCAUCGAUGAGUUAACAAUAAACAAAGAUCCACUUCGAGGAAAGGAACUUUCGGAAUUCAUGGAUCCAUUCCCAUUAACAAACAACGCAAAAACGUGA
This 281-nucleotide long non-coding RNA is filed under the name Prunus dulcis (almond). RNAcentral's name for it is "sRNA ncRNA". The record is from RNAcentral. Lineage: Eukaryota; Viridiplantae; Streptophyta; Magnoliopsida; Rosales; Rosaceae.